CUAAGCUACAAAGGGCAAGCGGUGGAUGCCUUGGCGUCAAGAGGCGAAGAAAGACGUGACAAGCUGCGAUAAGCUUCGGGGAGUUGCUAAAUAAACUUUGAUCCGGAGAUUUCUGAAUGGGGAAACCCUCCCGGGAUAAUGCCCGGGAACCUUCAGCUGAAUACAUAGGCUGUUGGGGCCAACGAGGUGAACUGAAACAUCUUAGUAACCUCAGGAAGAGAAAAUAACAAUGAUUUUCCAAGUAGCGGCGAGCGAACGGGAAAGAGCCCAAACCUUUCAUGUGUUAAAGCCCGAAAGCGUUGCAUGAAAGGGGUCGCGGGAUUUGAUUGGACGAAGUUUCGGAUUCGUCGGGAAGUGAUAAAUUCGAUUGUUAACCGAAUCGUCUGGAAAGGCGGACCAGAGCAGGUGACAGUCCUGUAGGUGAAGGUAAUCGAACUUCCUGGAUCGAACACCCAAGUACGGCGGGACACGAGAAACCCUGUCGGAAUUCGUGAGGACCAUCUCACAAGGCUAAAUACUACUUGACGACCGAUAGUGAACCAGUACCGUGAGGGAAAGGUGAAAAGUACUCCUGUGAGGAGAGUGAAAUAGUACCUGAAACCGUUUGCCUACAAGCAGUGGGAGCACCAUGGACCCAUCCUAGCAAUAGGGUGCUCCGGUGUGACCGCGUGCCUUUUGCAUAAUGAGUCAGCGAGUUACUUUACGCAGCAAGGUUAAGCCGUCAGGUGUAGCCGUAGCGAAAGCGAGUCUUAACUGGGCGAAUGAGUUGCGUGGAGUAGACCCGAAACCAGGUGAUCUAUCCAUGGCCAGAGUGAAGCGCCGGUAAAACGGCGUGGAGGCUCGAACCGAUACUGGUUGAAAACAGUUCGGAUGAGCUGUGGAUAGGGGUGAAAGGCCAAACAAACCUGGAGAUAGCUGGUUCUCUCCGAAAUAUAUUUAGGUAUAGCCUCACAAAUUAAGCAACGGGGGUAGAGCACUGAAUGGGCUAGGGGUCCCACCAGAUUACCAAACCUAAUCAAACUCCGAAUACCGUUGACUGUUAUUGUGGGAGUCAGACUGCGGGAGCUAAGUUCCGUGGUCGAGAGGGAAACAACCCAGACCGCCGGCUAAGGUCCCUAAAUUCAUGCUAAGUGGUGAAGGAUGUGGAAAUGCACAGACAACCAGGAGGUUGGCUUAGAAGCAGCCACCCUUUAAAGAAAGCGUAACAGCUCACUGGUCGAGUGAGUCCGCGCCGAAAAUGUAACGGGGCUAAGCAUGAUACCGAAGCUGCGGAGCCAUACUUUGUAUGGUUGGUAGGAGAGCAUUGAAUACGGGCAGAAGGUUGACCGUAAGGACAGCUGGACUGUAUUCAAGAGCCCAUGCUGACAUGAGUAGCGAUAAAGCGGGUGAAAAACCCGCUCGCCGAAAGCCUAAGGUUUCCUGAGUAAAGCUAAUCUUCUCAGGGUUAGUCGAUCCCUAAGCCGAGGCCGAAAGGCGUAGGUGAUGGAAAACAGGUUAAUAUUCCUGUACCACCGUAUCAUCGUUUGAGUGAUGGAGGGACGCAGAAGGGUAGGUCAUCCGCCUGCUGGAAUAGGCGGUUCAAGCACGUAGGCUUAAGAGACAGGCAAAUCCGUUUCUUUUUAAGGCCGAGAUGCGAUGAGGAGGGACUUUGUCCCAUAAACUGAUUGAUCCCAUACUGCCAAGAAAAUCUUCUAGCGAGAUGAUAAGGUGAUCGUACCGCAAACCAACACAGGUAGGCAGGAAGAGAAUUCCAAGGCGCUUGAGAGAACUCUGGUUAAGGAACUCGGCAAAAUAACACCGUAACUUUGGGAGAAGGUGUGCCCCUUGUAUGUGAAGGACUUCUCGUCCGGAGCGGAACGGGGUCGCAGAGAAAUGGCGGUAGCGACUGUUUACUAAAAACAUAGGACUCUGCUAAGUCGCAAGACGAUGUAUAGGGUCUGACGCCUGCCCGGUGCCGGAAGGUUAAGGGGAUUUGUUAGCACUUUUGUGCGAAGCUUUGAACCGAAGCCCCGGUAAACGGCGGCCGUAACUAUAACGGUCCUAAGGUAGCGAAAUUCCUUGUCGGGUAAGUUCCGACCUGCACGAAUGGCGUAACGA
This 2097-nucleotide ribosomal RNA is filed under the name marine sediment metagenome. Its description in RNAcentral is "bacterial LSU rRNA". It matches the Rfam family "Bacterial large subunit ribosomal RNA", at positions 1 to 2007 of the family's 2925-position model. The record is from RNAcentral.